CCUUGCCAGCCCGCUCAGAAACUCAAAUGAAUUGACGGGGGCCCGCACAAGCGGUGGAGUAUGUGGUUUAAUUCGAUGCAACGCGAAGAACCUUACCUGGUCUUGACAUCCCGGAGACCCUUAGGAAACUAGGGGGUGCUUCCAUCUGGAAGAAUCUGGAGACAGGUGCUGCAUGGCUGUCGUCAGCUCGUGUCGUGAGAUGUUGGGUUAAGUCCCGCAACGAGCGCAACCCUUGCCUUUAGUUGCCAGCAGUUCGGCUGGGCACUCUAAAGGGACUGCCGGUGUUAAACCGGAGGAAGGUGGGGAUGACGUCAAGUCCUCAUGGCCUUUAUGACCAGGGCUACACACGUACUACAAUGGCCGAUACAAAGGGCAGCGACACUGCGAGGUGAAGCCAAUCCCGUAAAAUCGGUCUCAGUCCGGAUUGGAGUCUGCAACUCGACUCCAUGAAGUUGGAAUCGCUAGUAAUCGUGGAUCAGCAUGCCACGGUGAAUACGUUCCCGGGCCUU
Molecule: ribosomal RNA, 509 nt
Filed under: uncultured Desulfobulbus sp.
Lineage: Bacteria; Pseudomonadati; Thermodesulfobacteriota; Desulfobulbia; Desulfobulbales; Desulfobulbaceae
Description: bacterial SSU rRNA
Rfam family: Bacterial small subunit ribosomal RNA
Source: RNAcentral